GGGACACGUGGUAUCCUGUCUGAAUAUGGGGGGACCAUCCUCCAAGGCUAAAUACUCCUGACUGACCGAUAGUGAACCAGUACCGUGAGGGAAAGGCGAAAAGAACCCCGGCGAGGGGAGUGAAAAAGAACCUGAAACCGUGUACGUACAAGCAGUGGGAGCACGCUUAGGCGUGUGACUGCGUACCUUUUGUAUAAUGGGUCAGCGACUUAUAUUCUGUAGCAAGGUUAACCGAAUAGGGGAGCCGAAGGGAAACCGAGUCUUAACUGGGCGUUAAGUUGCAGGGUAUAGACCCGAAACCCGGUGAUCUAGCCAUGGGCAGGUUGAAGGUUGGGUAACACUAACUGGAGGACCGAACCGACUAAUGUUGAAAAAUUAGCGGAUGACUUGUGGCUGGGGGUGAAAGGCCAAUCAAACCGGGAGAUAGCUGGUUCUCCCCGAAAGCUAUUUAGGUAGCGCCUCGUGAAUUCAUCUCCGGGGGUAGAGCACUGUUUCGGCAAGGGGGUCAUCCCGACUUACCAACCCGAUGCAAACUGCGAAUACCGGAGAAUGUUAUCACGGGAGACACACGGCGGGUGCUAACGUCCGUCGUGAAGAGGGAAACAACCCAGACCGCCAGCUAAGGUCCCAAAGUCAUGGUUAAGUGGGAAACGAUGUGGGAAGGCCCAGACAGCCAGGAUGUUGGCUUAGAAGCAGCCAUCAUUUAAAGAAAGCGUAAUAGCUCACUGGUCGAGUCGGCCUGCGCGGAAGAUGUAACGGGGCUAAACCAUGCACCGAAGCUGCGGCAGCGACGCUGAUGCGUUGUUGGGUAGGGGAGCGUUCUGUAAGCCUGCGAAGGUGUGCUGUGAGGCAUGCUGGAGGUAUCAGAAGUGCGAAUGCUGACAUAAGUAACGAUAAAGCGGGUGAAAAGCCCGCUCGCCGGAAGACCAAGGGUUCCUGUCCAACGUUAAUCGGGGCAGGGUGAGUCGACCCCUAAGGCGAGGCCGAAAGGCGUAGUCGAUGGGAAACAGGUUAAUAUUCCUGUACUUGGUGUUACUGCGAAGGGGGGACGGAGAAGGCUAUGUUGGCCGGGCGACGGUUGUCCCGGUUUAAGCGUGUAGGCUGGUUUUCCAGGCAAAUCCGGAAAAUCAAGGCUGAGGCGUGAUGACGAGGCACUACGGUGCUGAAGCAACAAAUGCCCUGCUUCCAGGAAAAGCCUCUAAGCAUCAGGUAACAUCAAAUCGUACCCCAAACCGACACAGGUGGUCAGGUAGAGAAUACCAAGGCGCUUGAGAGAACUCGGGUGAAGGAACUAGGCAAAAUGGUGCCGUAACUUCGGGAGAAGGCACGCUGAUAUGUAGGUGAAGCGACUUGCUCG
This 1357-nucleotide ribosomal RNA is filed under the name Escherichia coli. RNAcentral describes it as "bacterial LSU rRNA". It matches the Rfam family "Bacterial large subunit ribosomal RNA", at positions 419 to 1776 of the family's 2925-position model. Lineage: Bacteria; Pseudomonadati; Pseudomonadota; Gammaproteobacteria; Enterobacterales; Enterobacteriaceae. The record is from RNAcentral.